AAGAUGCUAGUAAAACAAUUACCCUGCCUUGUCAAGGCAGAAUUGUAGGUUAGAGCCCUGCGUAUCUUA
RNAcentral lists this transfer RNA (69 nucleotides) under Chrysichthys sp. NM-2010. RNAcentral's name for it is "tRNA-Asp". It matches the Rfam family "tRNA". From Rfam's summary of the family: Transfer RNA (tRNA) molecules are approximately 80 nucleotides in length. Their secondary structure includes four short double-helical elements and three loops (D, anti-codon, and T loops). Further hydrogen bonds mediate the characteristic L-shaped molecular structure. tRNAs have two regions of fundamental functional importance: the anti-codon, which is responsible for specific mRNA codon recognition, and the 3' end, to which the tRNAs corresponding amino acid is attached (by aminoacyl-tRNA synthetases). tRNAs cope with the degeneracy of the genetic code in two manners: having more than one tRNA (with a specific anti-codon) for a particular amino acid; and 'wobble' base-pairing, i.e. permitting non-standard base-pairing at the 3rd anti-codon position. Lineage: Eukaryota; Metazoa; Chordata; Actinopteri; Siluriformes; Claroteidae. The record is from RNAcentral.